GUUUUUCCUCCCCACAAGUCAUACAAGUUCUAUACAAAUCAGAGUAUAGUUUAGUCAUUCGUGUUUUCUUUCGUGCUUAAAUAUUUAUAAAAAAAGGAACUCCGAAGAGUUCCUUAACAUUAUAUCAACCGAUUGCGGGUGCAGUCAAGGCAACUGGUGUUGCUUCUGCUGCUGCAAGGUCAAGAGGGAAGUUGUGUG
This 198-nucleotide unclassified non-coding RNA is filed under the name Synechococcus phage S-PM2. Lineage: Duplodnaviria; Heunggongvirae; Uroviricota; Caudoviricetes; Pantevenvirales; Kyanoviridae. The record is from RNAcentral.